ACGGGUGAGUAACACGUAGGUAACCUGCCUAUGAGACUGGGAUAACUAUCGGAAACGAUAGCUAAGACCGGAUAACUGGUUUUCUCGCAUGAGAGAAUCAUGAAACACGGAGCAAUCUGUGGCUUAUAGAUGGGCCUGCGGCGCAUUAGCUAGUUGGUAGGGUAAUGGCCUACCAAGGCGACGAUGCGUAGCCGACCUGAGAGGGUGAACGGCCACACUGGGACUGAGACACGGCCCAGACUCCUACGGGAGGCAGCAGUAGGGAAUCUUCCGCAAUGGACGCAAGUCUGACGGAGCAACGCCGCGUGAGUGAUGAAGGUUUUCGGAUCGUAGAGCUCUGUUGCCCUAGACGAACAGCAAGGAGAGUAACUGCUCUUUGUGUGACGGUAUAGGAGAAGAAAGCCCCGGCUAACUACGUGCCAGCAGCCGCGGUAAUACGUAGGGGGCAAGCGUUGUCCGGAAUUAUUGGGCGUAAAGCGCGCGCAGGCGGUUAAUUAAGUUGGGUGUUUAAGCCCGGGGCUCAACCCCGGUUCGCAUCCAAAACUGGUUGACUUGAGUGUAGGAGAGGAAAGUGGAAUUCCACGUGU
Molecule: ribosomal RNA, 587 nt
Filed under: uncultured bacterium
Lineage: Bacteria
Description: bacterial SSU rRNA
Rfam family: Bacterial small subunit ribosomal RNA
Source: RNAcentral